This 74-nucleotide transfer RNA is filed under the name Pteropus alecto (black flying fox). It matches the Rfam family "tRNA". Rfam says of the family: Transfer RNA (tRNA) molecules are approximately 80 nucleotides in length. Their secondary structure includes four short double-helical elements and three loops (D, anti-codon, and T loops). The record is from Rfam by way of RNAcentral. Lineage: Eukaryota; Metazoa; Chordata; Mammalia; Chiroptera; Pteropodidae.
AGUUCCAUAGUGUAGCGGUUAGUACGUCUGUUUUACACACAGAAGGUCCUGGAUUCGCAUCCCUGGUGGAGCCA